AAGGUUUGACAUGCAGGGAAAAGCCGUAGAGAUAUGGUGUCCGUAAGGGUCCUGCACAGGUGGUGCAUGGCUGUCGUCAGCUCGUGUCGUGAGAUGUUGGGUUAAGUCCCGCAACGAGCGCAACCCUCGUCCUAUGUUGCCAGCGGGUCAUGCCGGGGACUCAUAGGAGACUGCCGGGGUCAACUCGGAGGAAGGUGGGGAUGACGUCAAGUCCUCAUGCCCCUUAUGUCUUGGGCUGCAAACAUGCUACAAUGGCCAGUACAAAGGGUUGCGAGACCGCAAGGUGGAGCGAAUCCCAAAAAGCUGGUCUCAGUUCGGAUUGGGGUCUGCAACUCGACCCCAUGAAGUCGGAGUCGCUAGUAAUCGCGAAUCAGCAACGUCGCGGUGAAUACGUUCCCGGGCC
Molecule: ribosomal RNA, 403 nt
Filed under: uncultured bacterium
Lineage: Bacteria
Description: bacterial SSU rRNA
Rfam family: Bacterial small subunit ribosomal RNA
Source: RNAcentral